GAAAUUUAACUUAUAAACUUCUAAUUUAAAAAUUGUGAUAAAUCAUAUAAAUUUCU
RNAcentral lists this transfer RNA (56 nucleotides) under Setodes iuppiter. RNAcentral's name for it is "tRNA-Ser". The record is from RNAcentral. Lineage: Eukaryota; Metazoa; Arthropoda; Insecta; Trichoptera; Leptoceridae.